AUACAUUCUCAUUAUCAGUUCCCACCUCUAACCUCUUCCUCUUCUCUACACAAGCCCACAUCAGUUCCCACCUCUUCCUCUUCUAUACAUUACACGAACCCACAUAAACCCUACACCUCCCAUCCUUUCAGCAAGUCCGAUCUUUUGUUCACCGGUAGGAGCACGCCGCUCGUUUGCUCGCCGCAAGUUCCCAUCGGCGGUCUCGUAUCCAAGAAUCUACAGGUGCUCGUUCUUAAUAUUGCAUUUGAAGCACAAGAAUGACCAGCACCCGGGCUGUUUCCAGGUCUUCUGGGUUUGAACGCAUCAGCAACUGCUUCUGAAUUAGAAUACGACCCUUGUUUGGUGAACGAAUGGCCUGCUCCGGGACUGCUACCUAGGGUGAACGAAUGGCCUGCUUUGGUGCAGCUGUUAAAGGGUUUUGCAAUGCAUUAGAGUCAGUUGUAUACUGAUAGUUAAAGGCUCAAAGCCAACACAAGUGGCAAAGGGUGAGCAUGUCGCCUGGGUGUAAGAUCUCAAAAAGCGCAGGCUCGAGACAAGCAAGGCGCACGUCCGGUCCAGGCCAUUGUUAGGUGCUUCACACUUGUUUUCGGCUGUUUUACACUAGUCUAGAUUGUUUAGACUGAUUCAAAGCGUUUGAAACUACUUUUGGCGGUUAAGACAAGUUUUUUACCGGUUCAAGCCUGUUUGUUCCUGGUUUAAAGGAAUCUACUAGCAUAUCUUCUUGAAGAAGAAAGGAACCUACUUGCAACUCGUCUUGACGAAGAAAGGAAAGCAAGGGAAGAACUUCAAAAACAACUUCAAGAAUUUAUGAAGAAUUGGCGUCCUCCCUCUAAUUAGAUGUAGUUUUUGAUAUCUAUUUUGAAUUAUGUUAAAUUGUAUUAGCUUACAGUUUAAACAUAUUGGAACUUGCGUUGUGACGCAUGAUUUUUGAAUUUAUGUCA
Helianthus annuus (common sunflower) is the source of this 941-nucleotide long non-coding RNA. RefSeq lists it as uncharacterized. The transcript has 3 exons. NCBI's taxonomy places the organism in Eukaryota, Viridiplantae, Streptophyta, Magnoliopsida, Asterales, Asteraceae. The record is from RefSeq and is a predicted model, not a curated record.